This is a long non-coding RNA of Coffea arabica (coffee), 1397 nucleotides long. RefSeq lists it as uncharacterized. The record is from RefSeq and is a predicted model, not a curated record. Lineage: Eukaryota; Viridiplantae; Streptophyta; Magnoliopsida; Gentianales; Rubiaceae.
UCACAUGAAAGCCAUGAUAAUACAAUAUCAGUUGUAUAUUUUUGUCGACCUACAACCAGAUGGAUUUUGAUCAUGACAGUAGAUGUCAUCAUUGAAGCUCCUUUCCAAAAAAAUAUUUCCCUAUCCUGUAAUUACCAGAUACAUUUCCUGAGUGAAAGGAAGUAUUAGAUGCCACUAUUCAUAUUCUGAAUCAGAUUUUCCAAUAUUUUUUCCUUUGGAUCGUUUUGUAAUAUAUAAUUAGUAUUCUGAGCAGUGUCAUACUAGAGAACAGAUUUGAGGUUGCUUUCUAUUGUUGAAUGUGAGAUAUCUUUCUGCAUUACAUCUCCACUUAGGAAUUUGGUUUCUUGAAUUUCCAAAUGUUGGUUCACAGGAUUGGAGAAGUUACAUCCUUGGUCUAUCAGAGUAGUUGCUGACAAUAUGGAAAUACUCAAUGCAAAAAUGUUAUUUGACCUUUUAAAUGAAUUGUCAAGGAGUUUUAUACUUGCCUUAUUUCAGAAUUUAGUUGGUCAUUUAGAUGAAAGGUGGGAGCUAGAAUCUUCAUGUUUAAUGAGUCCUCACUUUUGGUGUUGGAACCAAUUGAGAGGAGGCAAAUGUAAAUUGGGAUUUUACAGGUGCUGCUGGAAUAUGAAGAUCUCUGGUCUACAGGGUACCAUCAGCCCACUACCCCUAGGAAACCAAAUUUUCUAAAAUUGUCUUAGUAAAGUGAUUUUAGAAGAAUGCAAUUGCAGAAUAUUGAGGAAUUUGGUGGGAGAAGGGGCAGUAACAGUUGCCAAUACAACCAUGAUAGUGCAUCCAUUCCUGAACGAUGGAGGCGAAAAUGCUUCUUGCGGACAGUACAAAAGAAAGAAGAAGAAAGAUGAAGAAGAAGAAAAGGAAGGAUAUAACUAUGUGUUGCUCAUCAAAAAUAAAGAAGUUAAUUUCAAUCCAUCAUCGAAUUAAUGAUCUACCAGAUUCAUUGCCCGUUUGUCCGUCAGGGUUUGAUAAACUUUUUUCCUGUUCAACCUCUUUGUUUGCUCUUUGCUUCAUUUCUUUUAGGAGAUUAUUGCUUUUUCGGAGAACUGUCAGCCUUAGUUACUAAUUUUAAUUCAUUUCUUUGUCUUUUCCGGUAUUACCUUAUGGAAAUUGGUAUUGCCGACAGUGCAUUUGCCAGAUCUACGGCUACAGAGUGGACAAAAAAGAAGCAUUACCACCUCUUGGCACAUUGAAGUGCUCCCAAAUCUACAGCCAGUAUCAUGAAGCUUGCGUGGAAGAACGUGGUAGAAAAAUAGACUUCGCUUCUGGUAGCUGGUAUUCUUGUUACACGUGUCAAGAGGUCUAUCUAGGUCUUCAAGGACAAAGUGGCCUCAUGAACCUGCUUCAUGAUGGAGCCUGAGGCAAGAUGAGGCUGACCCAAAGAC